UCCGAAUUAGUAAAAUUUAUUAUGUUGCUUUGAUAUGGCAGAGUUCCUUUUUAAGGAUUCGGUA
This 64-nucleotide transfer RNA is filed under the name Strongyloides fuelleborni fuelleborni. Its description in RNAcentral is "tRNA-Ile". Lineage: Eukaryota; Metazoa; Nematoda; Chromadorea; Rhabditida; Strongyloididae. The record is from RNAcentral.